GACGAACGCUGGCGGCGCGCUUAACACAUGCAAGUCGAACGGAAAGGCCUGCUUUCCCUUGUGGAUUUCGGGUACUCGAGUGGCGAACGGGUGAGUAACACGUGAGUGAUCUGCCCCCAACUUGGGUAUAAGCCUGGGAAACUGGGUCUAAUUCCCGAUAGGACUGCAGGGUGGUGCCUGUGUUGGAAAACGAUUUUCUAGUGGUUGGGGAUGAGCUCGCGGCCUAUCAGCUUGUUGGUGGGGUAAUGGCCUACCAAGGCGGCGACGGGUAGCCGGCCUGAGAGGGUGGACGGCCACAUUGGGACUGGGAUACGGCCCAGACUCCUACGGGAGGCAGCAGUGGGGAAUAUUGCACAAGGGGCGGAAGCCUGAUGCAGCGACGCCGCGUGGGGGAUGACGGCCUUCGGGUUGUAAACUCCUUUCGACCGCGAGGAAGCCACCUGGUUGGAAGGGUGGUGACGGUAGUGGUAGAAGAAGCACCGGCUAACUACGUG
Molecule: ribosomal RNA, 494 nt
Filed under: uncultured bacterium
Lineage: Bacteria
Description: partial 16S ribosomal RNA
Rfam family: Bacterial small subunit ribosomal RNA
Source: RNAcentral